RNAcentral lists this long non-coding RNA (268 nucleotides) under Olea europaea (common olive). Its description in RNAcentral is "long non-coding RNA (OEUR_LNC009502)". The record is from RNAcentral. Lineage: Eukaryota; Viridiplantae; Streptophyta; Magnoliopsida; Lamiales; Oleaceae.
CCAACAUGAGCAGAUAGAAAAGCCUAUGAGUACGGAAUUUGAAAUUUCGAGUUCUAUUUCUAUUGGAGGAUCGUGAGAUGGCCCAAUUGUGCGCAUUAUCAGGAGACUGAAUUAUACAUAGUAUCAGCUUGACAUGGGACUAAGUUCUAUUAUAAAGAAUGAUUUCUUGUAGUCUCGAAUUAUGUAAUUUAUUUUAAACUCAUUCGAGCAUUUCAUACCAGAAACUUGGACGGUUUGAAGAUUGACUGUAUAAUUAUAAUGAGAAGUU